Molecule: ribosomal RNA, 344 nt
Filed under: uncultured fungus
Lineage: Eukaryota; Fungi
Description: partial small subunit ribosomal RNA
Rfam family: Eukaryotic small subunit ribosomal RNA (bases 222-344)
Source: RNAcentral
GGGCGGUGGGGGCUGUGUCUGCCGGAUAGGUAUGUACUGGCUCCCCCGUCCUUUCCUACUGGGCACUCGCCCCUCCUCUUAACUGAGUGGGGGUAUUCGCCGGCCUUGUGUCGACGUUUCGCCCGGGUAGGCCAGGGGCAGUUGGCCCCAGCUGGGUGUGGGCGCCUCCGGGCGUUCUUCACCUGGCUGGGACGGCUGUUUCCUGCCUCCCGGUGUCGGAGUUCCAGUUCGUUUACUGUGAGUAAAUUAGAGUGUUCAAAGCAGGCGUGACGCCCGAAUACGUUAGCAUGGAAUAACGAAAUAGGACGCGCGGUUCUAUUUUGUUGGUUUCUAGAGUCGCCGUA